Manis pentadactyla (Chinese pangolin) is the source of this 436-nucleotide long non-coding RNA. RefSeq lists it as uncharacterized. The record is from RefSeq and is a predicted model, not a curated record. NCBI's taxonomy places the organism in Eukaryota, Metazoa, Chordata, Mammalia, Pholidota, Manidae. The transcript is spliced from 3 exons.
ACCGGGUACUGCACGGAGCCGUCGCGCAGCCAGCCCGCAUUGCACCAGUCCAGGCCAUCGCGCCAGGCCGCGUGCAGCUGCUCAGCCGACGCCAGAAUGCCGUCCUGCUCAGCGCACGCUCGCUGCGCUUCGGUGAAGCCUAGACCUUCCAGACCAUCCCUUGCUCUGGCUCCAGACCUGACCAUGCCUUUUCCCAGCUCGCACCCCUCAAGACUCCCUUCGCCCUCCCACACAGAACAGUGUAUCACAGAGAAGGGACAUAGUGGAUCUCUGGCAACUUGCUGCACUGAUGGGCAGUGACUGCAUUGGGGUAUGGGUGGGGACUUGAUAAUAUGGGUAAAUGUAGUAACCACAUUGUUUUUUCAUGUGAAACCUUCAUAAGAGUGUAUAUCAAUCAUACCUUAAUAAAAAAUUUUUAAAAAUUAAAAAAAUAAAA